RNAcentral lists this ribosomal RNA (492 nucleotides) under uncultured bacterium. RNAcentral describes it as "partial 16S ribosomal RNA". It matches the Rfam family "Bacterial small subunit ribosomal RNA", at positions 29 to 507 of the family's 1533-position model. The record is from RNAcentral.
AGUGAACGCUGGCGGUAGGCCUAACACAUGCAAGUCGAACGGCAGCACAGUAAGAGCUUGCUCUUACGGGUGGCGAGUGGCGGACGGGUGAGGAAUACAUCGUAAUCUACUUUUUCGGGGGGGAUAACGUAGGGAAACUUACGCUAAUACCGCAUACGACCUACGGGUGAAAGCAGGGGAUCUUCGGACCUUGCGCGAUUGAAUGAGCCGAUGUCGGAUUAGCUAGUUGGCGGGGUAAAGGCCCACCAAGGCGACGAUCCGUAGCUGGUCUGAGAGGAUGAUCAGCCGCACUGGAGCUGAGCCACGGUCCAGACGCCUACGGGAGGCCGCAGUGGGGAAUAUUGGACAAUGGGCGCAAGCCUGACCCAGCCAUCCCGCGUCGGUGAAGAAGGCCUUCGGGUUGUAAAGCCCUUUUGUUGGGUAAGAACAGCAGCAGCUUAAUACCCCGCUGUUCUGACGGUACCCAAAGAAUAAGCACCGGCUAACUUCGUG